Molecule: ribosomal RNA, 294 nt
Filed under: uncultured Anaeroplasma sp.
Lineage: Bacteria; Bacillati; Mycoplasmatota; Mollicutes; Anaeroplasmatales; Anaeroplasmataceae
Description: partial 16S ribosomal RNA
Source: RNAcentral
GGAGUAUGGACCGUUCUCAGUUCCAUUGUGGCCGUUCAACCUCUCAGUCCGGCUACGCAUCAUCGCCAUGGUGGGCUAUUACUCCGCCAUCUAGCUAAUGCGCCGCAGGCCCCUCUCUAAGUGAUAAAUCUUUAAUGAUCCUAGGAUGCCCUAAAAUCACCUAUCGAGUAUUAUCCGUCGUUUCCAACGGUUAUCCUCGUCUUAAAGACAGGUUACCUACGUGUUACUCACCCGUUCGCCAUGGUAUUGCUACCAUUCGACUUGCAUGUAUUAGGCACGCCGCCAGCGUUAAUC